UGGGGGUCUAGUUAAGCACUCUUGUACCGUGAAACUGCGAAUGGCUCAUUAAAUCAGUUAUCGUUUAUUUGAUAGUACCCUACUACAUGGAUACCUGUGGUAAUUCUAGAGCUAAUACAUGCGCAAAACCCCGACUUCGGAAGGGGUGUAUUUAUUAGAUAAAAAACCAAUGCCCCUCGGGGCUCCUUGGUGAUUCAUAAUAACUUCACGAAUCGCAUGGCCUUGCGCCGGCGAUGGUUCAUUCAAAUUUCUGCCCUAUCAACUUUCGAUGGUAGGAUAGUGGCCUACCAUGGUGGCAACGGGUAACGGGGAAUUAGGGUUCGAUUCCGGAGAGGGAGCCUGAGAAACGGCUACCACAUCCAAGGAAGGCAGCAGGCGCGCAAAUUACCCAAUCCCGAUACGGGGAGGUAGUGACAAUAAAUACUGAUACAGGGCUCUUUUGGGUCUUGUAAUUGGAAUGAGAACAAUCUAAAUCCCUUAACGAGGAACAAUUGGAGGGCAAGUCUGGUGCCAGCAGCCGCGGUAAUUCCAGCUCCAAUAGCGUAUAUUAAAGUUGUUGCAGUUAAAAAGCUCGUAGUUGAACCUUGGGCCCGUCCUGCCGGUCCGCCUCACCGCGAGUACUGGUCCGGAUGGGCCUUUCUUUCUGGGGAAUCCCAUGGCCUUCACUGGCUGUGGCGGGGAACCAGGACUUUUACUGUGAAAAAAUUAGAGUGUUCAAAGCAGGCCUUUGCUCGGAUACAUUAGCAUGGAAUAAUAGAAUAGGACGUGCGGUUCUAUUUUGUUGGUUUCUAGGACCGCCCGUAAUGAUUAAUAGGGAUAGUCGGGGGCGUUCAGUAUUUCAGCUGUCAGAGGUGAAUUCUUGGGAUUUGCUGAAGACUAA
RNAcentral lists this ribosomal RNA (880 nucleotides) under Talaromyces diversus. RNAcentral's name for it is "SSU rRNA". It matches the Rfam family "Eukaryotic small subunit ribosomal RNA", at positions 52 to 939 of the family's 1831-position model. The record is from RNAcentral. Lineage: Eukaryota; Fungi; Ascomycota; Eurotiomycetes; Eurotiales; Trichocomaceae.